UGUUCUAUAACCGUUUAGUUUAAAGUUGUUGUUUAGAGUUGUUGUUGGAUUACAACACACGUAACAUGGUUAUAUGCUGUGUGGUCCAGCUUCAUGUGAGCUUUUCCUUUGUUGGACGAGGCUCU
Long non-coding RNA from Melanotaenia boesemani (Boeseman's rainbowfish), 125 nucleotides. RefSeq lists it as uncharacterized. Lineage: Eukaryota; Metazoa; Chordata; Actinopteri; Atheriniformes; Melanotaeniidae. The record is from RefSeq and is a predicted model, not a curated record. The transcript is spliced from 3 exons.